AUUGAACGCUGGCGGCAUGCCUUACACAUGCAAGUCGAACGGUAACAGGUCUUCGGAUGCUGACGAGAGGCGAACGGGUGAGUAAUACAUCGGAACGUGCCUAGUAGUGGGGGAUAACUACUCGAAAGAGUGGCUAAUACCGCAUGAGAUCUACGGAUGAAAGCAGGGGAUCGCAAGACCUUGUGCUACUAGAGCGGCCGAUGGCAGAUUAGGUAGUUGGUGGGAUAAAAGCUUACCAAGCCGACGAUCUGUAGCUGGUCUGAGAGGACGAUCAACCACACUGGGACUGAGACACGGCCCAGACUCCUACGGGAGGCAGCAGUGGGGAAUUUUGGACAAUGGGAGCAAGCCUGAUCCAGCAAUGCCGCGUGCAGGAUGAAGGCCUUCGGGUUGUAAACUGCUUUUGUACGGAACGAAAAGCCCUGGGUUAAUACCCUGGGGUCAUGACGGUACCGUAAGAAUAAGCACCGGCUAACUACGUGCCAGCAGCCGCCGUAA
RNAcentral lists this ribosomal RNA (498 nucleotides) under uncultured bacterium. RNAcentral's name for it is "partial 16S ribosomal RNA". It matches the Rfam family "Bacterial small subunit ribosomal RNA", at positions 30 to 523 of the family's 1533-position model. The record is from RNAcentral.